AAUAUAUAAGAUUCCCAAAAGCUCUUAUAAUGAGAGAAUUGUUUGCAUAACAAGGACAUUUUGUACAAAUGGAACCCCAAGGAAGAACCAGUUUUUCUUAAGAACAAGUUUUCUUUGGAGGACAAAUCCAAUCUCCUGUAAUUACAAUUGCUGAUGUUGGGAGAACCCUCAAUAGCAUCCUUGCAUAGAAAAUGAAAGAAUAAUUAAUUGCCAAAGUUUGUGGGAAUGCUAGAGAACAAAUCUUGCAUUGUUCUUAAUAAUUGAAGAUGAUGACUACUUGAAGAUGUAACGUUGCUUUAGGUGUUUCUAACUGUAUUUCUGCUUAGCUAGUUAUCUUGUUUGGAACAGAAAAUUCAAAACCUACCCCUUGCUCUUAGCCUUACACAAGGUUCAUCUAUGAAGCU
This 404-nucleotide long non-coding RNA is filed under the name Vitis vinifera (wine grape). Its description in RNAcentral is "long non-coding RNA (VVIN_LNC007804)". Lineage: Eukaryota; Viridiplantae; Streptophyta; Magnoliopsida; Vitales; Vitaceae. The record is from RNAcentral.